GACGAACGCUGGCGGCGUGCUUAACACAUGCAAGUCGAACGGAAAGGCCCUGCUUUUGUGGGGUGCUCGAGUGGCGAACGGGUGAGUAACACGUGAGUAACCUGCCCUUGACUUUGGGAUAACUUCAGGAAACUGGGGCUAAUACCGGAUAGGAGCUCCUGCUGCAUGGUGGGGGUUGGACAGUUUCGGCGGUUGGGGAUGGACUCGCGGCUUAUCAGCUUGUUGGUGGGGUAGUGGCUUACCAAGGCUUUGACGGGUAGCCGGUCUGAGAGGGUGACCGGCCACAUUGCGACGGAGAUACGGCACAGACUCCUACGGGAGGCAACAGUGGAGAAUGGUGCACAAUGGGCGGAGGCCUGAUGCAACAACGCCGCGUGCGGGAUGACGGCCUGCGGGUUGGAAACCGCUUUCGCCUGUGACGAAGCGUGAGUGACGGUAAUGGGUAAAGAAGCACCGGCUAACUACGUG
Molecule: ribosomal RNA, 468 nt
Filed under: uncultured bacterium
Lineage: Bacteria
Description: partial 16S ribosomal RNA
Rfam family: Bacterial small subunit ribosomal RNA
Source: RNAcentral